AGAACGAACGCUGGCGGCAUGCCUAAUACAUGCAAGUCGAACGAACUCUUCGGAGUUAGUGGUGCACGGGUGCGUAACGCGUGGGAAUCUGCCCCUUGGUUCGGAAUAACAGUUGGAAACGACUGCUAAUACCGGAUGAUGACGAAAGUCCAAAGAUUUAUCGCCAAGGGAUGAGCCCGCGUAGGAUUAGCUAGUUGGUGAGGUAAAGGCUCACCAAGGCAACGAUCCUUAGCUGGUCUGAGAGGAUGAUCAGCCACACUGGGACUGAGACACGGCCCAGACUCCUACGGGAGCAGCAGUGGGGAAUAUUGGACAAGUGGGCGAAAGCCUGAU
Molecule: ribosomal RNA, 333 nt
Filed under: uncultured soil bacterium
Lineage: Bacteria
Description: bacterial SSU rRNA
Rfam family: Bacterial small subunit ribosomal RNA
Source: RNAcentral